GACGAACGCUGGCGGCGUGCCUAAUACAUGCAAGUUGAGCGAUGAAGAUUGGUGCUUGCCCCAAUUUGAAGAGCAGCGAACGGGUGAGUAACGCGUGGGGAAUCUGCCUUUGAGCGGGGGACAACAUUUGGAAACGAAUGCUAAUACCGCAUAACAACUUUAAACAUAAGUUUUAAGUUUGAAAGAUGCAAUUGCAUCACUCAAAGAUGAUCCCGCGUUGUAUUAGCUAGUUGGUGAGGUAAAGGCUCACCAAGGCGAUGAUACAUAGCCGACCUGAGAGGGUGAUCGGCCACAUUGGGACUGAGACACGGCCCAAACUCCUACGGGAGGCAGCAGUAGGGAAUCUUCGGCAAUGGACGAAAGUCUGACCGAGCAACGCCGCGUGAGUGAAGAGGGUUUUCGGAUCGUAAAACUCUGUUGGUAGAGAAGAACGUUGGUGAGAGUGGAAAGCUCAUCAAGUGACGGUAACUACCCAGAAAGGGACGGCUAACUACGUG
Molecule: ribosomal RNA, 497 nt
Filed under: uncultured bacterium
Lineage: Bacteria
Description: partial 16S ribosomal RNA
Rfam family: Bacterial small subunit ribosomal RNA
Source: RNAcentral